UUUCUAUAGUAAUUAUUCACUCAUAUCACUCAUCACUCAAAUCACGCAUACUGUAUAUGUAAUUAACACUCACCACAUACUACUGAUUAUUGUCAAUUAAAGGCUCUGUUUUAUAAUUAAUUUUAGUGUCUAUAGUAAUUGCUAUUUUUUUAUAGUUUUACGUGUACAUUUGACUUUUGAGCAAUCUUUCUAGUAAUUACAUGCAAUGAUAUUAUUUAAUUGGAAGUAUAAUAUUGGUAAGUAGAAAUUGCUAUUUUAGUAGGUGGUAAAUAGUUUUACAUGUACUCUUGAUUUUUCAUGUACCGUCUAUCUGGAAUUUUUUUACGACUUAAAUUUUGCUACAUUUAGAAAUUUGACCAAUGGAAAAAUGAAAUCAGGCAAUGCACAAUUUUUUGAGGCAUAAAAUCAUUAAAGCAUAAAAUUCCAGAUAUCACAGUACUAUAGUUAUAUUUUUAACAGCAUGCAAUGAUAUUUUAAUUGUAAGUAGACAUUUGUAGGUAGAAAUGAUGAUAAUCCACAAGCUAUCAUGUGAUGUCAAGAAUCAUUCCCCCACAGAAAAGCAGUUGAUACACAGGAACCAGAUGACAUUAAUGCCAGUAGAUUGAAGAAUAGCCACACAAUGAGUGGGAAUAAACUGUGGCAAAACAGUUGCAAGUGUACAGUGACAGCCUUGUUAACCAAGAAAAUAAAUGUGACAGGAAGUGAUCCAACGAUGAAAGCAAUGAUUGAGAGUGAGUGAGAGUGAGGUGAGAUAAACAGCAAAUAGAGUGAUGAUACAGCUACCAGUAGAGAGAUACACACCAACGAAUGCUUCACAAACUAUCAGAGUUGAUCAUCAUCAGAAUAAUGAACAAAUUAACAUGAGCUGCUACAAGUUGAAGAAUAUCUCCUCCUCCUCCAUGAAUAGACAUCACUUUGAAACUGCAAGUCUUCUGCCAAACUUUGAUCUUUCUCUCUUUCUCUCAAUCCUCAAUGAUAGCUAUAUGUUAUUAAAUUUUUUUUAGUUUAGUUUUUUACAAGUUUUACAGGUACUUUUAA
This is a long non-coding RNA of Amphimedon queenslandica, 1038 nucleotides long. RefSeq lists it as uncharacterized. Lineage: Eukaryota; Metazoa; Porifera; Demospongiae; Haplosclerida; Niphatidae. The record is from RefSeq and is a predicted model, not a curated record. The transcript is spliced from 2 exons.